GUGUCAGCCGCCGCGGUAAUACAGAGGGUGCAAGCGUUAUUCGGAAUUAUUGGGCGUAAAGCGCGUGUAGGCGGUCUGGUAAGUCUGGUGUGAAAUCCCUGGACUCAAUUCAGGAAGUGCAUUGGAUACUGCUAGACUAGAGGAUGGGAGAGGGGGACGGAAUUCCUGGUGUAGAGGUGAAAUUCGUAGAUAUCAGGAGGAACAACAGCGGCGAAGGCGGUUCCCUGGACCAUUUCUGACGCUCAGGCGCGAAAGCGUGGGGAGCAAACAGGAUUAGAUACCCUGGUAGUCCACGCCAUAAACUAUGGGUACUAGGUGUCGGAACAACUUACCGUUUCGGUGCCGUAGCUAACGCGUUAAGUGCCCCGCCUGGGAAGUACGGUCGCAAGAUUAAA
This 395-nucleotide ribosomal RNA is filed under the name uncultured bacterium. RNAcentral's name for it is "bacterial SSU rRNA". It matches the Rfam family "Bacterial small subunit ribosomal RNA", at positions 505 to 898 of the family's 1533-position model. The record is from RNAcentral.